RNAcentral lists this transfer RNA (74 nucleotides) under Fidelibacterota bacterium. RNAcentral describes it as "Candidatus Marinimicrobia bacterium tRNA-Gln". It matches the Rfam family "tRNA". From Rfam's summary of the family: Transfer RNA (tRNA) molecules are approximately 80 nucleotides in length. Their secondary structure includes four short double-helical elements and three loops (D, anti-codon, and T loops). Lineage: Bacteria; Pseudomonadati; Fidelibacterota. The record is from RNAcentral.
UGGGAGAUCGUCUAAUGGCAGGACACAUGGUUUUGGUCCAUGGAAUCGGGGUUCGACUCCCUGUCUCCCAGCAA